RNAcentral lists this ribosomal RNA (253 nucleotides) under uncultured bacterium. RNAcentral describes it as "partial 16S ribosomal RNA". It matches the Rfam family "Bacterial small subunit ribosomal RNA", at positions 524 to 776 of the family's 1533-position model. The record is from RNAcentral.
UACAGAGGGUGCGAGCGUUAAUCGGAAUUACUGGGCGUAAAGCGUGCGUAGACGGUUAUUUAAGUCGGGUGUGAAAGCCCCGGGCUCAACCUGGGAAUUGCAUUCGAGACUGAAUAGCUAGGGUACGGUAGAGGGAAGUGGAAUUUCCGGUGUAGCGGUGAAAUGCGUAGAUAUCGGAAGGAACAUCAGUGGCGAAAGCGACUUCCUGGACCAGUACCGACGUUCAGGCACGAAAGCGUGGGGAGCGAACAGG